Molecule: long non-coding RNA, 446 nt
Filed under: Setaria viridis
Lineage: Eukaryota; Viridiplantae; Streptophyta; Magnoliopsida; Poales; Poaceae
Description: long non-coding RNA (SVIR_LNC006759)
Source: RNAcentral
AGAGUUUAAUGACCCCUCAUAUCUAUCCUAACUUCAACACUCUAAUGAACAUGGCUAUUGCAAUAGAAAAAGCUAAGGCAGAGGAAAAGAAAGACAACAAAUGCAAGUUUAUGGAAUAAAAGGCUCGUCACCAAGAUAGGUUCCAGAAGAAAAAGAAUUUUAGCUACUCCGGAUAGAGGACUCAAGCUCCGAUGCAUUAUAGGACUCAAGCAUCAGUUUCUUACCAGCCUAAUCCUUUGUACAAGAUUCAAAGCAAUGUCAAGACUCGGCAGAAUAGCACUGGACAAGUCACUAACAUCAGCAGGGCUUGUUUCAACUGUCGUGAGACUGGACACUUCAUAGCAAAUUGUCCUUAUGCAAACAAGCCAAUUGCAUCCACCUUCUCCAACACUAUGAAUGGACCAAGGCUAGAUAUGUCAAGAGCCAACCAUGUCCCUAUCCGCAAC